This is a small nucleolar RNA of Apus apus (common swift), 96 nucleotides long. RefSeq annotates it as small nucleolar RNA U13. NCBI's taxonomy places the organism in Eukaryota, Metazoa, Chordata, Aves, Apodiformes, Apodidae. The transcript has a single exon. The record is from RefSeq and is a predicted model, not a curated record.
AUCCUUCCGGGUUUAGAGCCAAUGAUGAAUGGGGCGGCACGCGCCUGCGUGACGUGUGCGACCUGCGUUACGACGUGGCACAAAACCCAUCUGAGC